This 711-nucleotide ribosomal RNA is filed under the name Triticum aestivum (bread wheat). Its description in RNAcentral is "partial small subunit ribosomal RNA". The record is from RNAcentral. Lineage: Eukaryota; Viridiplantae; Streptophyta; Magnoliopsida; Poales; Poaceae.
AUGACGAGACGCGCUGCAGCCACCUUUAUGCUGAUGCUCUCGCUCCCGACAGCGGCCCUCAUGGUCGCCGCCGACGACGUGGGCGUCGACAGCAUCCGCCUCCCUACCGACGGCGGCGAAGGUCUCGCAACGAGCAAAGGAGGCGAGAAGCAGACACUAUCACUCCCAGUCCCUGACCAAAUAGUGGCGCCGAGGGAGCAGAACGUCGGCGACGUCCUCGAAGAAGAGGAGAGGCCGUGGGCGUGCUGCAACAGCACCGUGUGCACCAAGUCCUUCCCGCCGACGUGCCGGUGCCUGGACGAGGUCGAGGAGUGCGCCCCCGCAUGCAAGGCGUGCGAGCCGUCCGGGUUCAACCCGGCCUUCCACGUCUGCAACGACCAGUACCACGGCGACCCAGGGCCGACGUGCGCCAAGGAGGAGAGGCCGUGGACGUGCUGCGACCGGACCGUGUGCACCAAGUCGUUCCCGCCGACGUGCCGCUGCCUGGACGAGGUGGAGGAGUGCGCCCCCGCGUGCAAGCGCUGCGAGCCGUUCGGGAUCAACCCCAACCGCCACGUCUGCAACGACCAGUACCACGGCGACCCCGGGCCCACGUGCGGCAAGGACGACGACGACGAUGACCACCCCAGCGGCUCUCCAUCCCUCGCCGCCGCCACACAGAUGCAGUUGCUGCUGGUUUCUCUGAUCUUGUUGUUUAUCCAGAGUCCUUAG